AGGGGGAAAGAACCAACAGGGAUUGCCCCAGUAACGGCGAGUGAAGCGGCAACAGCUCAAAUUUGAAAUCUGGCCCCCGGGUCCGAGUUGUAAUUUGUAGAGGAUGCUUUUGGCGAGGUGCCUUCCGAGUUCCCUGGAACGGGACGCCAUAGAGGGUGAGAGCCCCGUCUGGUCGGACACCGAGCCUCUGUAAAGCUCCUUCGACGAGUCGAGUAGUUUGGGAAUGCUGCUCAAAAUGGGAGGUAUAUGUCUUCUAAAGCUAAAUAUUGGCCAGAGACCGAUAGCGCACAAGUAGAGUGAUCGAAAGAUGAAAAGCACUUUGAAAAGAGGGUUAAAAAGUACGUGAAAUUGUUGAAAGGGAAGCGCCUAUGACCAGACUUGGGCCCGGUGAAUCACCCAGCGUUCUCGCUGGUGCACUUCGCCGGGCACAGGCCAGCAUCAGUUUGGCGCGGGGGAGAAAGGCUUCGGGAAUGUGGCUCCCCCGGGAGUGUUAUAGCCCGUUGCGCAAUACCCUGCGCUGGACUGAGGUACGCGCAUUCGCAAGGAUGCUGGCGUAAUGGUCAUCAGCGACCCGUCUUGAAACACGGACCAAGGAGUCGUCUUCGUAUGCGAGUGUUCGGGUGUCAAACCCCUACGCGUAAUGAAAGUGAACGCAGGUGAGAGCUUCGGCGCAUCAUCGACCGAUCCUGAUGUUCUCGGAUGGAUUUGAGUAAGAGCAUACGGGGCCGGACCCGAAAGAAGGUGAACUAUGCCUGUAUAGGGUGAAGCCAGAGGAAACUCUGGUGGAGGCUCGCAGCGGUUCUGACGUGCGAAUCGAUCGUCAAAUAUGGGCAUGGGGGGCGAAAGACUAAUCGAACCUUCUAGUAGCUGGUUUCCGCCGAAGUUCCCCCUCAGGAAA
Molecule: ribosomal RNA, 898 nt
Filed under: Cordyceps militaris
Lineage: Eukaryota; Fungi; Ascomycota; Sordariomycetes; Hypocreales; Cordycipitaceae
Description: partial large subunit ribosomal RNA
Rfam family: Eukaryotic large subunit ribosomal RNA
Source: RNAcentral